Molecule: ribosomal RNA, 254 nt
Filed under: uncultured bacterium
Lineage: Bacteria
Description: partial 16S ribosomal RNA
Rfam family: Bacterial small subunit ribosomal RNA
Source: RNAcentral
UACAGAGGGUGCGAGCGUUAAUCGGAAUUACUGGGCGUAAAGCGCGCGUAGGCGGCUUUUCAAGUCGAUUGUGAAAUCCCCGGGCUUAACCUGGGAACUGCAGUCGAGACUGUCUAGCUAGAGUAUGGGAGAGGGAAGUGGAAUUUCAGGUGUAGCGGUGAAAUGCGUAGAUAUCUGAAGGAACAUCAGUGGCGAAAGCGACUUCCUGGACCAAUACUGACGCUCAUGUGCGAAAGCGUGGGGAGCAAACAGGG